AGCGAACGCUGGCGGCGUGCUUAACACAUGCAAGUCGAGUGCGCGGUAGCAAUACUGGCGCACGGCGCACGGGUGAGUAACACGUGGGCAACCUGCCCUGCAAUGGGGGAUAACCCGCCGAAAGGCGGGCUAAUACCGCAUGACAUCACGAUGGCUUCGGCCGUUGUGAUCAAAGGCCGCAAGGCCGUUGGAGGAGGGGC
This 200-nucleotide ribosomal RNA is filed under the name uncultured bacterium. Its description in RNAcentral is "partial 16S ribosomal RNA". It matches the Rfam family "Bacterial small subunit ribosomal RNA", at positions 29 to 230 of the family's 1533-position model. The record is from RNAcentral.